This 431-nucleotide small RNA is filed under the name Pan troglodytes (chimpanzee). Its description in RNAcentral is "processed transcript". Lineage: Eukaryota; Metazoa; Chordata; Mammalia; Primates; Hominidae. The record is from RNAcentral.
GGACGCGCGGCACGCCGGUCCUGGCUACAGGCGCGGCGUUUGAAGAAAAACUGUCACUGAAGAGUCAUGGUGGGGCCCGGGCGUACCGCUGCUGCCGCUGUCGAAGAGCGGCAGAGAAAGCUUCAGGAGUACCUUGCAGCCAAGGGAAAACUGAAGAGCCAAAACACCAAGCUAUUAGACCCAAAAAUGAUGUUACCAACCAUGUUGUUUUGCCUGUCAAACCUAAAAGGUCCAUCAGCAUUAAACUCCAGCCCAGACCACCUAAUACUGCAGGGUCCCAGAAGCCGAAGUUGGAGCCACCAAAACUUCUGGGCAAAAGGCUGACUUCAGAAUGUGUUUCUUCUAACCCGUACUCUAAGCCUUCUAGCAAGAGUUUUCAACAGUGUGAAGCUGGAUCGUCCACAACAGGAGAACUGUCAAGAAAACCUGUG